UUCUAACAUAUCACCAACAAACUUAUGUUUAUUACUUGAUUGCUGUUUAAUGUUUAAAUGAUUAUCGUUAAGGUUUAAUCUUAAAUCUUAUGUUAUCUGAUCUUAAUGUAUACUAAAAGAGUCGGUGUAUCUCUCUCUCUCUCGUAGUUUUCUUGGGUUAUGUGUUUGCUGAUAUGACCGUCUUUUAUAGUAUGACGAUUCGACUCUUGAAUACAAAUUUGAAGUUAUGUAUUGAUGUUGAGGGUCGACUCGUGUAAUCAUGUUGCAUCACAUUGUUUCUACUUUUUAAAGAUGAACCUAACUUUGACCUCCCUAUUUGACUACAAUACUAUUCAACGUCGUUCUACAAAGCGACCACUUAUAUUUUAAAGCAUAAUAGUUGUGCAUUGAUUUGGUUUUCGACGGUAGCCCAGAGUGGUGGUGUAAGAGAUGCAGAAUGAAUCAGCCUACCGAUGAUGCUUAGACUAUUAAGAGUGUUUACAGGCUCUAAACAGGAUACGCGCUCAUUUGGUACAUUUUCGGAUGAUUAUUGGCCAGGAAGUACGUUAUGAUGAUGAGAGUUGAUUUGAGUGGAAGAGACGGCAGAGUUUGGCAAGUAAUCGAGAUCGAAAUUA
Erigeron canadensis is the source of this 614-nucleotide long non-coding RNA. RefSeq lists it as uncharacterized. The transcript is spliced from 2 exons. The record is from RefSeq and is a predicted model, not a curated record. Lineage: Eukaryota; Viridiplantae; Streptophyta; Magnoliopsida; Asterales; Asteraceae.